Molecule: small RNA, 227 nt
Organism: Paraburkholderia tropica
Lineage: Bacteria; Pseudomonadati; Pseudomonadota; Betaproteobacteria; Burkholderiales; Burkholderiaceae
Rfam family: Burkholderia sRNA Bp1_Cand871_SIPHT
Source: Rfam
UCGCCCACAAUGCCUUCAACGGUUUCAACACGGAUGUGGCUUGGUGCCAGUGUGAGCGGACACGAUACACCAGCCGGUCGGCUUUAUGCCGAAGCCCUCCUUAGGGGCAUCCUUGCUGGAGCCGUGACCGGCGUCUCGUACGUUUCAUCAGCCGGCUCCUCCUUUGGUCUCCUCGCGCUAACCCCGUAGCGUGUGGUUUUUAGCGGGCUCCAGGCCCGCUUUUUUUU